GCUAAUACCGCAUAUUCUGUGAGCAGGAAAGCAGGGGAUCGCAAGACCUUGCGCUGAUUGAGCGGCCGAUAUCAGAUUAGCUUGUUGGUGAGGUAAAAGCUCACCAAGGCGACGAUCUGUAGCGGGUCUGAGAGGAUGAUCCGCCACACUGGAACUGAGACACGGUCCAGACUCCUACGGGAGGCAGCAGUGGGGAAUUUUGGACAAUGGGGGCAACCCUGAUCCAGCCAUGCCGCGUGAGUGAAGAAGGCCUUCGGGUUGUAAAGCUCUUUCAGCCGGGAAGAAAACGCAUGGGUUAAUACCCUGUGUGGAUGACGGUACCGGAAUAAGAAGCACCGGCUAACUACGUGCCAGCAGCCGCGGUAAUACGUAGGGUGCGAGCGUUAAUCGGAAUUACUGGGCGUAAAGCGUGCGCAGGCGGUUUUGUAAGACAGGCGUGAAAUCCCCGGGCUUAACCUGGGAACUGCGUUUGUGACUGCAAGGCUAGAGUACGGCAGAGGGGGGUGGAAUUCCACGUGUAGCAGUGAAAUGCGUAGAGAUGUGGAGGAACACCAAUGGCGAAGGCAGCCCCCUGGGUCGAUACUGACGCUCAUGCACGAAAGCGUGGGUAGCAAACAGGAUUAGAUACCCUGGUAGUCCACGCCCUAAACGAUGUCAACUAGGUGUUGGGAGGGUAAAACCUUUUAGUACCGGAGCUAACGCGUGAAGUUGACCGCCUGGGGAGUACGGCCGCAAGGUUAAAACUCAAAGGAAUUGACGGGGACCCGCACAAGCGGUGGAUGAUGUGGAUUAAUUCGAUGCAACGCGAAAAACCUUACCUACCCUUGACAUGCCAAGAACUUUCCAGAGAUGGAUUGGUGCCCGAAAGGGAACUUGGACACAGGUGCUGCAUGGCUGUCGUCAGCUCGUGUCGUGAGAUGUUGGGUUAAGUCCCGCAACGAGCGCAACCCUUGUCGUUAAUUGCCAUCAUUUAGUUGGGCACUUUAACGAGACUGCCGGUGACAAACCGGAGGAAGGUGGGGAUGACGUCAAGUCCUCAUGGCCCUUAUGGGUAGGGCUUCACACGUCAUACAAUGGUCGGUACAAAGGGUCGCCAAGCCGCGAGGUGGAGCCAAUCCCAGAAAGCCGAUCGUAGUCCGGAUCGCAGUCUGCAACUCGACUGCGUGAAGUCGGAAUCGCUAGUAAUCGUGGAUCAGAAUGUCACGGUGAAUACGUUCCCGGGUCUUGUACACACCGCCCGUCACACCAUGGGAGCGGGUUCCGCCAGAAGUAGGUAGCCUAACCGCAAGGAGGGCGCUUACCACGGCGGGGUUCGUGACUGGGGUGAAGUCGGAA
RNAcentral lists this ribosomal RNA (1335 nucleotides) under metagenome. Its description in RNAcentral is "bacterial SSU rRNA". It matches the Rfam family "Bacterial small subunit ribosomal RNA", at positions 162 to 1491 of the family's 1533-position model. The record is from RNAcentral.